This 460-nucleotide ribosomal RNA is filed under the name uncultured bacterium. Its description in RNAcentral is "partial 16S ribosomal RNA". It matches the Rfam family "Bacterial small subunit ribosomal RNA", at positions 338 to 795 of the family's 1533-position model. The record is from RNAcentral.
CCUACGGGAGGCAGCAGUGAGGAAUAUUGGUCAAUGGACGAGAGUCUGAACCAGCCAAGUAGCGUGAAGGAUGACUGCCCUAUGGGUUGUAAACUUCUUUUAUAUGGGAAUAAAAUGUUCCACGUGUGGGAUUUUGUAUGUACCAUAUGAAUAAGGAUCGGCUAACUCCGUGCCAGCAGCCGCGGUAAUACGGAGGAUCCGAGCGUUAUCCGGAUUUAUUGGGUUUAAAGGGAGCGUAGGUGGAUUGUUAAGUCAGUUGUGAAAGUUUGCGGCUCAACCGUAAAAUUGCAGUUGAAACUGGCAGUCUUGAGUACAGUAGAGGUGAGCGGAAUUCGUGGUGUAGCGGUGAAAUGCUUAGAUAGCACGAAGAACUCCGAUUGCGAAGGCAGUUCACUGGACUGCAACUGACACUGAGGCUCGAAAGUGUGGGUAUCAAACAGGAUUAGAUACCCCUGUAGUC